Helianthus annuus (common sunflower) is the source of this 966-nucleotide long non-coding RNA. RefSeq lists it as uncharacterized. Lineage: Eukaryota; Viridiplantae; Streptophyta; Magnoliopsida; Asterales; Asteraceae. The record is from RefSeq and is a predicted model, not a curated record. The transcript has 2 exons.
UGUCUCUCUCUCCUCAUUUGAAACUCACCACUACUACCCAACCAUCUUCUUCCUUUACUACCAGUGCCUUCAUCCAUCCACCAUUUCUUCAUUACCCACCAAAUCAACCACCUAAAACCCCACCACUAAAAAACCAUUUCUUGAAGUUUCGUCCCAUUGCUUCAACUACCAUUUUCUUCACUCUCCACCAAUCAUUGCUUCAACUAAAAAACCCAGUGCCUUCAUUCAUCCACCGUUUCUUCACAACCCACCAAAUUAACCACCAUUUCUUUACUACCCACCAAAUCAACCACCUCCUCCCUUACUACCCAGUUCCUUCAUCCAUCGCCGACCACCCCCUGUUUUAUCCCCUGUUUCCGGCGACAACCACCAGCCAAACACCCCCUGUUUUAUCCCCUAUUUCCGUUGGCCACCCCCUUUUUUCUCGUUUUUUCCAAUGAUGGAUGAGCUUAGAAGAAGGUGAAGAUGAAUCAAGAGAGUUUGAGCAGAGAAGAAGAGAGAGGGAAGCGGCGGAGCCGGCAACGGCAGCCCCGCCGUCACGGCGGCGGUGGUGUUCUUGUUUACUACCAGCUUCCUCGACGGCGGUAGACGCCCGGUGACCUCCCCGUUCUUCCGUUUACAGUGGCGGCAGAGGUGGUGGUUAUCAUCUUCAACUGGCUUUGUUUUGAUUUCUUUCGGGUUAGAUUCAAGUUGGCUCAGCUUCAAGUUUGGCGGUGAUUCGAGUUACGGUUCAGACUAGUGUUCGGGUUUUACGGGUUAACAAUCAAAGUAUCGGGUUUGGUCAAACCUGGUCAAAGUCAGGUUUGACUGGUUCGGGUCAACUGGUCAACGACGGUCAAAGCCAGACUCGGUAAACGUUUAAACGGCGUGAAAUCUUAUUAGUUUUAAAUUAUUACCGUGCAAAACAAGCUCGAACUGAAUAAUUUGACGAAUUAUUAGUUAAUAGUUACUUGGAUUUACUAAUUA